Carassius auratus (goldfish) is the source of this 1616-nucleotide long non-coding RNA. RefSeq lists it as uncharacterized. The transcript has 4 exons. Lineage: Eukaryota; Metazoa; Chordata; Actinopteri; Cypriniformes; Cyprinidae. The record is from RefSeq and is a predicted model, not a curated record.
UAAAUAUCACAGUUCACUCACAUUUAAGACAUUCAAAAGGAUAAUAUUGUCAGCUUUUCAGUGAACUGAUGAGGGAAAUGGCAAUCAAAUUAGUUUUGUUCUGUUUGUGUUUCUGGCGUCUGGAUGAUGUGUUUGGUCAGGAAAUGAAGAUAGUGAAACCAGGAGAUUCAGUCACUCUGAACUCUGGUCUUACUGAAAUGAAGAAUGAUGAGGAGAUACAGUGGAGGUUGGAAAAUGAAAACACAUUAUUGGCUAAAAUCAUUAAACGGGUCGAAUGCAUGACUGUAUAUGAUGAUGUUCUUGAUGGGAGAUUCAUAGACAGACUGAAGCUGAACAAAAAAACUGGAUCUCUGACCAUCACAAACACCAGAUAUGAACAUUUUGGAGAUUAUAAACUGGAGAGAAAAGGGUGGGAAAGGAAGAGUUUCUAUCUUAUUAUCAUUGGUGAGUUAAAUUAAGUUCUAUAUUUUAAUUGUAAGACCAAAAUUCCUCAUAAAACUGAACAGAAGAUUGUCCACAAAAACAGAUACCAUGCAACAAAAGAACAAUGCUACAAAUCCUGAGAAGAGAUCACCAAUAAGGGACACAAAAAAUCAUUUGAAUCCUUCAAACUGGAGGACCGUGAAUGAACGGAGCAUAUGAUGAAAUAUCAGUGAAGAUGGGAGAUUCACUCACUAUAAACUCUGGGCUUACUGAAAUGAAGGAUGAUGAUGUGAUUCAGUGGAGGUUUGGAUAUACUGAAAACACUUUACUAGCUGAAAUCAAUAAACAGACCGACAGCAUGACUGUAUAUGAAGAUGUUCUUGAUGGGAGAUUCAGAAACAGACUGAAGCUGAACAAUCAAACUGGAUCUCUGACCAUCACAAACACCACAACUGAAGAUGCUGGAAUUUGUCUACUACAGAUUAACAAUGAGAAAAAGAUGUUCCUUCUCGCUGUCUAUGAUGAAAUAUCAGUGAAGGAGGGAGAUUCACUCACUCUUAACUCUGGUCUUACAGAAGCUUUUUUAGUUGCGUGGAGGUAUAUGAAUGAAUUUAUAAUCAAUUAUGUAAACUUUUUUUCUGAGUCUAUCACUGUAUAUGAUGAUGUUCUUGAUGGGAGAUUCAGAAACAGACUGAAGCUGGACAAACAAACUGGAUCUCUGACCAUCACAAACAUCACAACUGAAGAUGCUGGAAAUUAUAUACAAUUUAGUUUUGGACAAAAACUGUUAUUAAAAGCUUUCAGAGUUUCUGUCUAUGGAGAGUAGACAGCAGAUUCAGAAGAGCUGAACAAGAGCAAGCACAUAUUCACAUAUCAGAAACAUAAAGGAUGAUGUUAUUUCUUAGAUUAUUCCUCUGAUAUCGAUGUGGUUAAUUUUCAAAUUCUCAUAUAUGCUCAAGUGUCAAAUGCAAGUGUUUGUCAUGGUCAAUACUGAAGAUUACCAAAGAUUCUCGCAUUCAGUAAUUUUUCAUAUUUGAUUUCAAAUGUUCCUCUCUUGCAGUGUUAUUAUUGUACACUUUCAGUUUGAAGGCUUUGUUUAUAUGUCUGUCUUAUUAGACACACAGAUCUCACUUUUCUGUCCAUUUGUCAUCUGUAUUUGCUUGCCUUUACCAAUAAAGUGUUCUCGCUCUGAG